UACGGAGGGUGCAAGCGUUGUUCGGAAUUACUGGGCGUAAAGCGCGUGUAGGCGGUCUCUUAAGUCUGAUGUGAAAGCCCGGGGCUUACCCCCGGAAGCGCAUUGGAAACUGGGGGACUAGAGUACCGGAGAGGAGGGUGGAAUUCCUGGUGUAGCGGUGAAAUGCGUAGAUAUCAGGAGGAACACCGGUGGCGAAGGCGGCCCUCUGGACGGAUACUGACGCUGAGACGCGAAAGCGUGGGGAGCAAAC
This 250-nucleotide ribosomal RNA is filed under the name uncultured bacterium. Its description in RNAcentral is "partial 16S ribosomal RNA". It matches the Rfam family "Bacterial small subunit ribosomal RNA", at positions 524 to 773 of the family's 1533-position model. The record is from RNAcentral.